AUUGUGCUAUCAUUCAUCCACUGAUCACCCAUCCGAUUGCGCAAUCUAUCCUUUACGAUAUUCAUUGCAAAAAAGACUCUCUCCACAGUAGCAGUAACAUCCGGUAAAAUCAAUGCUAAAGUCAAAAAGUCUGUAAACCAAUGAAUAUACCCUAUAUUUCUUUGUCAGAACUAACUUCUUCAUAAGAUCACCAAGGUCAUUCAAUC
This 206-nucleotide long non-coding RNA is filed under the name Olea europaea (common olive). Its description in RNAcentral is "long non-coding RNA (OEUR_LNC014934)". The record is from RNAcentral. Lineage: Eukaryota; Viridiplantae; Streptophyta; Magnoliopsida; Lamiales; Oleaceae.